This 65-nucleotide transfer RNA is filed under the name Ammothea clausi. RNAcentral describes it as "tRNA-Phe". Lineage: Eukaryota; Metazoa; Arthropoda; Pycnogonida; Pantopoda; Ammotheidae. The record is from RNAcentral.
GUUUAUAUAACUUAAAUUAGAGUAUGGCAGUGAAGUUGCUAAUGUAAUAUAAAAUAUUUGUAAAC